AGCUUAAAGCAGUACAACGGUAGUACAAGAGUGAACUUUGUAUGUCUGUACAAGGUAUUACGGCUGUUGUUACCGGCCGAAAGAGAUUUUCUUCUUCUCGAAGUCACCGAAGAAGCGAAGCCAUGGGACGAACUGCGGCAGUAUUUCGCUUCCGGUGGUGCAGAAACUCAAAGGACGGGAGAAUUACGUGACCUGGACCUUUGCGAUGCGAAUAGUGAUGAUCCGUGAGGCACGCAGUAUAUUCCCCGGAAGGUGUUCAAGUCAACCAGGAUUUGUCGGACUUGGCAACCAUCUGCCUUCGUAUUGAACCGUUCCACUACAGCCUUGUCCAGCGGGCCAAGACUGCGAAGGAGGCCUGGAACAGUCUGAAAACGGCGUUUCCAGACUGCGGACGGUACCGGAAGAUAAACUUGCUGAAGAAGUUGACAAGGCUGGAGCUGGAAGAUUGUUCGUCAGUCGAGGAGUACGUUGACGAAAUUGGUUUCGUGUUCGAUGACGAAUGGUUGCUGCUCAUCGGCCUCCCAAAGGUUUACUAGCCACUCGUGAAAGUAAGUUCCAGAAGAAGAAGAAGGAUAAGUCCGGUGUAAAAUGUUUCAAAUGCGACAAGCUUGGGCACUACGCGUCCGAGUGCCAGGUGAAGCUGAAGUCGAAGCCCGAGAAAGGAUUCCACGGAAAGCAAACGGCUUUGAUUUGUUUGUUUAUUAAUUUAUUUGAUAAGGCUCAAUCGAAUUAUCUUUACAGAGCCGAGGAUUCUUGUUCACUACACAAUAUAUCUUAAAACUAUAGUCAAAAGGUACAACACAAUAAACAUUUUAUCUUCUGCUAUCCAAUAAGCCUCCUCCACCAGAACAGGAGCCGCUUCCAGUGGUUCCAUUGUAUGGCACUAUCGUCAACGGGGGUCAGAGCGCUUCCAUUGCAGCAAUGGACGCAAAACAUGGUCAGCACUCACACAUUCAUCACGAAACGGUUGCUUUCCAAAGUCGACGACGCAUCGACCUCGGCAUCAACUGAAAGAACUGCUGAGGAGGACCACACAAUGGUUGCUGCCGAGUAAACAGACGAUCGCGUGACACACAUUGAGAGUGAACGGCUUUGAUGGCGUGCAUGAUACCGAAGCUGGAGACGGAAGACUGGAUUUUGGAUGCAGGAACAGGACGGCACAUGUGUAAAUCCGAGCAAGCGGUUAUCAAUCAGAAAGAUGUCUCGGAGAGCAUUUUUGCGGCCAAUUCAACCGAUGUUCCUGUUCCGGCCGUCGGCAGCGUCAAACUGGAUGCCGAUGUAAAAAGUAUGUGCAGUACUCUAGAUAUCGCUGAUGUUCUGUUCGUUCCAGACCUAGCGGUCAACCUGCUUUCGGUGAGCCGUAUUUGCAAGAAAGGGUACCGGAUCAAUUUCUCGAGGAACUUUUGCGAGGUAGUCAACGAGUACCAUCGGUGAGAUCAUCCCUAACGGUACGGAGGUGGAUGGGCUAUACAAGCUGAAGCAGGGCAUUCAUGGCAAAACCCUGGGAGAACCUGGAGUUGUGGCAUAAAUGGUUCGGCCACCUAAAUCUGGCCGUCAAUGGUUGCUGGGAUCGAGAACGAGCAUCGAGUGUGCUGUAGGUAAGCACCUCAAGCAAUCGUUCAAGUCGGUGAGUAGGCGACACACACUUACUUCCUGAAAUCCAAAGCUGAGGCAUUUGAUGCGUUCGUGGAAUUUAAAGCGUAUGUCGAGAAGCAGACAGGCAAAUCUAUGAAGCGGAGUAUGUCGGAAAUAAAUUCGAGCAGUUCUUGAAGGUAUGCGGCAUCCGUAACGAGACCUCGGUUGCCUACAAUCCGCAACAAAACAGACUUGAGGAAAGGAUGAACCGGACGAUCGAAGAACGCCCCAGAUGUUUGCUCUUCGAUGCUGGAUUGGACAAGCGGUUCUGGGCUGAAGCAACCUCAACGGUGGUGUACUUGAUUAAUAGAUCGCCAACAAAAGGUAAUAGAAUCACACCAAUUGAAGAAUUCACUGGAACGUAGCCAGAUGUUUCAAAUCAACGAGUUUUCGGAUCGGACAUUCAUCACUGCGUUCCCGUCACACGAAAAGGAAGAAUAUGUUGGAUCGCAACACGAUUCUGGGCAUAGUGGCUUGGAGUAUGCAUCCGCAAUCCUCUACUCCACAGAUUUCUAGCGAACGCGAUACGCUUCAGCAAGCAUUGGAACGACCGGACCGCGAUGACUGGAUCGGUGCAAUGGAGGCCGAGCAUCGGUCGUUGUGCGAUAACGACACAUGGGACCUCGUCGAUCUACCGGCGGGACGGAGAGCACUCAAAAAUAAGUGGGUGUAUGCGCUGAAGACGGGUCCGGAUGGCUUCAUCGAACGACAUAAGGCCCGACCGGGAUUAAAGGGUAUUCCCCAGUCAAACGCGAGCAUUACGACGUCACGUAUUCUCCGGUGGUACGGUAUGCAACCGUGCGCUACCUCUUGGAAAUUGCGGCCAAAUACGAUCUGCUGGUGUGCCAUAUGUAUGCGGUGACUGCAUUCUUGCAGUGUAAACUUUAUGGAGAGGAGAUCUACAUGGAUCAACCGGAAGGGUUUCGGGACGCGCGUGCACCGACGAAGGUUGUACGGGUUGAAGCAGGCGAGCCAUGUCUGGAACCAGAAGGUGAAUCGGAAACUCAAGGCGAUUGGGUUCCAGCGAUCUAAAUAUGACUCCUGCAUGUACUUCCGGUUCGGCAACGGAAAGGUGAUUAUCAUUUCUGUCUAUGUGGACGACUUUCUACUGUUUUCCAACGAUCAAGCGAGUUCCAAAUUAAGGACCUGGGGGGCGUCAAGCAGAUCUUGGGACUGCCGGUCAACCGAUCCGAUGCCAUUGUAGCCAUAGACCAGGAGCAUUAUAUUGACAAACUUCUGCAGCGAUUCCGGAUGGAGGGAUCCAACUCCAUAUCGUCACCCCUGGACGUGAACCAAAAGUUGACGAAAGUGAUGCAACCCGAAUCUGUGGAAGAGAAAGAGAAGAUGAGAAGCACUCCGUUCAAGUAACUCUUCGCUGGUUUGCAGUGUGUGGCGCAAAGCACUCAGUCAGAUAUCAACCACGCGGUGAGUGUCGUCAGCAGCUUCAGCCAUGAACCUGGAGCAGCUGGUGUAUCGGGCCGACUGCGAGCAGAACUUCCAAGCAUACAGCGAUGCGAAUUGGGCGAACGACGUCGAAACUUAGCGUUCCAUUACCGGCUACGUGUUCCUGCAAAGUGGAGCUGGAAGAGGCAGUCCACCGUCGUACUUUCCACCACAGAGGCUGAAUAUAUGGUACUCUCUUCUGCCACCGUGGAAGCGGCAUGGUUGAGGGGAUUCCUGCAAGAGCUUCGCGGUGUUGAAAUUUCCGUUUCGAUCAACUGCGAUAACAAGAGCGUUAUAAGUCUCGCGGAGAAGGAUAUCGGCUACUCUUCAAGAAGCAAGCAUAUCGACAUAAGGCAUCAUUAUGUACGAGAUCGAUAACGAUUAGAUUGUAAAGCUAUUACAUUGAAUUAUGUCCCAUCAAUCCUUCAGGCAGCAGUUAUCUUCACGAAAGCACAAGCGAACACAAAGCUGUUUGAAGAUAGAAAAAUGUUAGGAAUUCAGGAUUUCCCGCUAAAAGGGGCAUGUUCGAACAUAGUAAGCGUUGAAAUAAUUGUUCAAUCAAACUUCAUUCGUUACUUGCACUCUAUCUUGAGUAGACGCUUCUAUCAAUUUGCCACUUCCCCGGGGGUACCGGAACAUGCCCGGAAGGGCUAGUGUGACUGUGGACUGUCAAUAAGGCCAUGAAAGUUGUUAUGAAUUCAAUGGCUGCCAUCUUGGAUUUCAAAAUGGCAGCGGACAUCGAUUUCAAUCAUCUACAUGUCAUCUCCGUUUCAAAAAGAACGCGUAUUUUUUCUAAAACCAAUGGCCACCAUCUUGGAUUCCAAAAUGAUGGCAGAAGUAAGUUUCCUACAUCUGCAUGUCAUCCCAGUUCCAAAAAUAUCAAUAUUGUAGAACAUUAACAGUUUUUUUUUCUCUAAAUCGAUGGCCACCAUCCUGGAUUUCUAAAUGGCGGCGGACAUCGAUUUUCGAUCUACUGUUCCGAAAAUACUCAUUGUCUUGCAUGGGGAAUUUUCAGUGACAAAACUUGAUGAUGAUGAUCGGAGAUUAUCGCUAUUUCAUAUGAUCGUGACCUGUAACACAAAUGAUAAUCGCAUUAUCGGUUCCAGAACUGUCCGUUGUGUUUUUUGGGUUUGUACUGAUCAUGAGUGUAACCAAAAUGAGAAUGACUUUAUCUUUAUCUGAAUCGUUGAUUUCGAUUCCCGCUACACUACAGGUUUGGUCAAGGGGUAAGUCACUCAGCACAUUGUGCCGAAAUUAGAUUCGACACAGCUUGGGCACACCUUCGGCACAAUUUCGUAGGCAUUGGAUUGCUGUAAAUAAAAUGGGAGCACUGCUGGACAACUUUCAUUGAAGUUGUUCACAACAUUCCGUGCUGUUUGACUGAUGAGGAACUCAGACCAGCAGUUCAAUGAUAGAUCUAAAUGCGAAAUGUAGGUUCUAGAGUGGGCUCAAGAAAAAGAGGCAGUUAAUCACACCCCAUUAGUACCCUUAAUUCAAAUAAUGCUGCAAAUCACACAAAAUAAAUUAAAGAAGUCUAUUCAUCAUCCUCUAUAGUCGGUCUCCUAUAAUGCUUCCCACUGGUUCCAACUCUUUCCGGCCGCUUAUAGACCGAUGCAUUUCACAUCACAAAAAGCUAGGUUUUGGUCUGCCUUUGAGGGCAUUAUAAAACACUAAAAUACAGAACUUUUAUCACCCUAUGAACAUAAAGCACCAACAUUUCGCACACCAGCCACUUCCCGCGUCAUCCACAACCCGGUUUAUCCUUGCUUGAAAAACCAAAACAUUCAAAGUGUCAGAAAUACCGGGUUGCCAGGAUUUUACAAACAAUCGCAGCUUGCUCUAUGACCGGCACACCUGCAGCGCACUUGCGGCACACUGACAAACAAGAUGAACCAAGAUUGGUGUGCGGAGUGACCUACCCCUUGAGUUUGGUUCUUGUAGAGAAAUAGCCGCUUUCUCUGGGGCACCGGAACUAUUCCGGGAUGAUCAAUGUGAUCAUGGAUCAUCGGUAAGCCGUAAAUGGUCCAAUUACAUAAUUUGAGUGAGAAAAUAUUAAAUCUAUGCAAAUUUAGACGUUAGACCCGCAAAGGUUAAUGAUUACCAUGGUUUCCAUAGUUACACAAAAGAACUAUAAGAGUUGAACAACGCAGCCAUUGAGCCAAAAGUGAAUAAUUUGAAGCACAAGUUCUUGAACGCUAUUACGACCUAAUCAACAUUCAAAUGUUUUCGGACCACCUUUUUACCCCUCCAAUAUACCAUUCCAUCCGAGAUUUUAAUUUAAUUCCGAUCGUAGAGUUGUAUGCUCCUUCUGUAUUUGUAUUUGUAGUAUAGAAACAGUUUAAAGCAGUAAAUUCCAUUUGCGAGCGCGUUAUCCAGUAACACGUCUCCAUUCAAUCAACCAACCAACAUAAACAGACAAAAAAAAAGACAAAGAUUAGAACGCGUAACCAAUCAAUUCGAUGAAGAGAGAAAAUCAACCGAUGUGAACAGAUAAAACUAGAAACACACUCUAAACUGAAGAAAAAAGAAACACAGAGAGGAAGAGAAAUGAAAGCAAGAAAAAAUGAAAUAUAAUGUUAUUCAAAUGUUAUUUCAAUCACUGUUGAAAUGUUAGAAUAAAUUUAAAUAAAACCAAAAA
Long non-coding RNA from Ochlerotatus camptorhynchus, 5716 nucleotides. RefSeq lists it as uncharacterized. The transcript has 2 exons. NCBI's taxonomy places the organism in Eukaryota, Metazoa, Arthropoda, Insecta, Diptera, Culicidae. The record is from RefSeq and is a predicted model, not a curated record.